RNAcentral lists this long non-coding RNA (238 nucleotides) under Homo sapiens (human). Lineage: Eukaryota; Metazoa; Chordata; Mammalia; Primates; Hominidae. The record is from RNAcentral.
AGGAGGAAAGAGGAAGGAGGAAGGAAGGAAAGGAGAGGAGAGAAGAGGAAAGGAAAGGAAAGGGAAAAGGAAAAGAAAAGAAAAUUCUGGCUUUUUGCACUAAAAGUGCUUACCUGCCCUUCACAUAACACUAUCCAGAGAGGAAACCCUUCACUGUCAUGCCCAGAAAAGACUCCACCAUCAGAAUAGCUGAAGAUAAUGCAUUAAAAAUGAAGAUUCUUUGGUUCAAACACAGACC